RNAcentral lists this unclassified non-coding RNA (337 nucleotides) under soil metagenome. RNAcentral describes it as "partial contains 5.8S ribosomal RNA, internal transcribed spacer 2, and large subunit ribosomal RNA". The stretch from base 1 to 120 matches the Rfam family "5.8S ribosomal RNA", at positions 35 to 154 of the family's 154-position model. The record is from RNAcentral.
GAUGAAGAACGUAGCGAAAUGCGAUAAGUAGUGUGAAUUGCAGAAUUCAGUGAAUCAUCGAAUCUUUGAACGCACAUUGCGCCCCUUGGUAUUCCAUGGGGCAUGCCUGUUCGAGCGUCAUUUGUACCUUCAAGCUCUGCUUGGUGUUGGGUGUUUGUCUCGCCUCUGCGUGUAGACUCGCCUCAAAACAAUUGGCAGCCGGCGUAUUGAUUUCGGAGCGCAGUACGUCUCGCGCUUUGCACUCAUAACGACGACGUCCAAAAGUACAUUUUUACACUCUUGACCUCGGAUCAGGUAGGGAUACCCGCUGAACUUAAGCAUAUCAAUAAGCGGAGGA